Molecule: ribosomal RNA, 444 nt
Filed under: uncultured bacterium
Lineage: Bacteria
Description: SSU rRNA
Rfam family: Bacterial small subunit ribosomal RNA
Source: RNAcentral
AGAGCGAACGCUGGCGGCAGGCUUAACACAUGCAAGUCGAGCGCCCCGCAAGGGGAGCGGCAGACGGGAGAGUAACACGUGGGAACGUACCUUUCGGUUCGGAACAACCCAGGGAAACUUGGGCUAAUACCGGAUACGUCCGUAAGGAGAAAGAUUUAUCGCCGAAAGAUUGGCCCGCGUCUGAUUAGCUAGUUGGUGAGGUAACGGCUCACCAAGGCGACGAUCAGUAGCUGGUCUGAGAGGAUGAUCAGCCACAUUGGGACUGAGACACGGCCCAAACUCCUACGGGAGGCAGCAGUGGGGAAUAUUGGACAAUGGGCGCAAGCCUGAUCCAGCCAUGCCGCGUGAGUGAUGAAGGCCCUAGGGUUGUAAAGCUCUUUUGUGCGGGAAGAUAAUGACGGUACCGCAAGAAUAAGCCCCGGCUAACUUCGUGCCAGCAGCCGC